UUCAAACGGAUCACUGCCAGCAUGAAUAUAAACUGCUUGAUUAAAUGCUGAUCCAACAGUGUCCUUAUCGCCACUUUCAAGGCAUAAUUCGAGCUCGUCUUCAGCAUUACCCUGAAGAACAGCUCGAAAUGAACCUUCAAUUAAUGGAAGGAAAACAGCAUACACAAUAUUAUCAUCAUUUUUGUUGUCGUUGGAUCCGAGAUGAGAUCCAUCUGUUGUUUCAACAAGAAGAAAUUGUGUUUCCAUUGGGAUUUCACUUCCCUUAUCACCCAUUUUCUGAGCCAUCCACCAUAACUUGAACCUGAAACAAGACAAGAACCGAACAUCCUGUAAUUUCCCGAGAGGCACAACAUGGCGGUUGUUGUCUUGAUCAAAUUCUGCACCAAGAAAUACACCCUCUAAUGGACCUGAUGCAGCACCGGGAGUGGUGAGUACGUUGUCGGGUACAUUUGUUAAUAUUGUUCUGUCUUUCACCAUCAGUUUUCUGUCAGAAAUCCUUAUCGCUGGAGUAAUCGUCAUGGCAGCGUCAACUACUGUUUUUGCUGCUGCUUCCUCCUCUUCUAGCCCUUUCUCAAAUUCUACUUCACUUCCUUUGUGAGCAAGAACUGAAGUGGUAGGUGAUGAAACAGAGAAUUGUAAAGGGUUACUAUAUUUGUUGAAUGAGUAUGAAAAAUGGGUUGUUGUAGAAGAGAAGAAUGAUGGGAUUUUGGGG
RNAcentral lists this unclassified non-coding RNA (712 nucleotides) under Hevea brasiliensis (rubber tree). Lineage: Eukaryota; Viridiplantae; Streptophyta; Magnoliopsida; Malpighiales; Euphorbiaceae. The record is from RNAcentral.